Molecule: ribosomal RNA, 398 nt
Filed under: uncultured bacterium
Lineage: Bacteria
Description: bacterial SSU rRNA
Rfam family: Bacterial small subunit ribosomal RNA
Source: RNAcentral
GACGAACGCUGGCGGCGUGCUUAACACAUGCAAGUCGAGCGGAAAGGCUCCUUCGGGGGUACUCGAGCGGCGAACGGGUGAGUAACACGUGAGUAAUCUGCCCUUGGCUUUGGGAUAACUACCGGAAACGGUGGCUAAUACCGGAUACGACCACUCCUUGCAGGAGGUGGUGGUGGAAAGUUUUUUCGGCCAGGGAUGUGCUCGCGGCCUAUCAGCUUGUUGGUGGGUAAUGGCCUACCAAGGCUUCGACGGGUAGCCGGCCUGAGAGGGUGACCGGCCACACUGGGACUGAGACACGGCCCAGACUCCUACGGGAGGCAGCAGUGGGGAAUAUUGGACAAUGGGCGGAAGCCUGAUCCAGCAACGCCGCGUGAGGGAUGACGGCCUUGGUUGUAACC